UGGGUAAGGUUCAACCUCAAGUGCAGCCCA
This 30-nucleotide non-coding RNA is filed under the name Mus musculus (house mouse). Lineage: Eukaryota; Metazoa; Chordata; Mammalia; Rodentia; Muridae. The record is from RNAcentral.